AGAAGAAGAAAAGAAGAAGAAGAAGAAGAAGAAGAAGAAGAAGAAGAAGAAGAAGAAGAAGAAGAAGAAGAAGAAGAAGAAGAAGAAGAAGAAUUCCUUCCGGUUUACAGCCCGAAGAUGAGCAAAUCAAAACAGCAAGAUACACCCAAAUAACGGAAGGAUUGGAUCUCCCACCAGAACACCAGCCUUCACCUUGAGAACUGCAAACUCCUCCGAAAACAAUACCCAGAUUGGGAUGGUGAGAUAGCACUCAAGCCCAGGACUGCAGGUCAAGAUGCCAAGCCCUCGGCCUCAAC
This is a long non-coding RNA of Siniperca chuatsi (mandarin fish), 296 nucleotides long. RefSeq lists it as uncharacterized. The transcript is spliced from 4 exons. Lineage: Eukaryota; Metazoa; Chordata; Actinopteri; Centrarchiformes; Sinipercidae. The record is from RefSeq and is a predicted model, not a curated record.